UGUCAUUGUAGUCUGUUCCCACCCUUCCCAUGCACGCUCUGUGUAUUGAUGGGGAAUGUGGAGGGCAGGCUGGGAGGAGGAUAUCCCUGACUGUUGAGAAGUUUCCGGGGAGGAUGGAGUAGAGAGGAGCAUGGCCGGACCUCCCCAUAGCAGGUCGGCGGAGGGAAAGGGUGCAGCCCUCAGGGCAGCAGCUGAAUCAGUCCUAUGUCAUGUUCUUAAAGGACAGUACGAUUCCAUUUCUUUGAAAAGCCACAGUUUUUCUGGCCUGCCCUCGGUUGGUGGGCACCCAUUUAUUCCCCAUUGCCCCUCCCCAUCUCUGCCCUCCUUGACACCUGUGCCCAGACAUGGCAUCUGAGUCAGAGGCCACCGACCGUUGCAUCACCGGAUCCAGAUUGCUUCUAGAAUGGCGAGUGUGACCUCCCAGUGCCCAGUGAACAUCACCAUUCCAUAACACCGCGAGCAUCGGGGCCCUUUUCUGGGUGACCGCUUCCUCCUUUGCCACUGGGCACUUAGCUGCGUUCUCUGGGUCCUCACUGGAUCAGGAGUGAG
This is a non-coding RNA of Phascolarctos cinereus (koala), 549 nucleotides long. Lineage: Eukaryota; Metazoa; Chordata; Mammalia; Diprotodontia; Phascolarctidae. The record is from RefSeq and is a predicted model, not a curated record.